UUUUUUUAGUUGUUAAUUUUACAUCCUUAUAAGGUGAGCUCUAGCAAAGUACAUAUUUGUGACAAUUACAGAUGGCCAAUUUUAUAAAAAUGUUCCUGGCUAUUUCAGCAGUUCUAUUUCUGGUACUGCUACAUUCCGAUAGUGUGAUUGGUGGAGCAAUGCACAGAAAUAAAAUAGAAGAACAACUAAUAAGAAGCAAGAGAGGUGUUUCAUUUUUAGGACGAAGAAGAUAUGUACCGCUACCAAUAAUUUUUGGAAAAUGAUAUUAGUAUAUCCAAUUAUAUUCAUGCUUUUUACUUUUAUAUACUUUUCGAUUUUAUCAGUAUAUUUAUAAUGGAUAUAUAAUAUAACAUGUACUUAAUUUUAAGAAAUAUAGACGACAAUAAAUAGAUAUUUAAGUGAA
This is a long non-coding RNA of Sitophilus oryzae (rice weevil), 403 nucleotides long. RefSeq lists it as uncharacterized. The record is from RefSeq and is a predicted model, not a curated record. The transcript is spliced from 2 exons. Lineage: Eukaryota; Metazoa; Arthropoda; Insecta; Coleoptera; Curculionidae.